Molecule: ribosomal RNA, 288 nt
Filed under: uncultured prokaryote
Description: partial 16S ribosomal RNA
Rfam family: Bacterial small subunit ribosomal RNA
Source: RNAcentral
GUGCCAGCCGCCGCGGUAAUACGAGGGGAGCUAGCGUUAUUCGGAAUUACUGGGCGUAAAGCGCACGUAGGCGGCUUUGUAAGUUAGAGGUGAAAGCCCGGGGCUCAACUCCGGAAUUGCCUUUAAGACUGCAUCGCUUGAAUCCAGGAGAGGUGAGUGGAAUUCCGAGUGUAGAGGUGAAAUUCGUAGAUAUUCGGAGGAACACCAGUGGCGAAGGCGGCUCACUGGACUGGUAUUGACGCUGAGGUGCGAAAGCGUGGGGAGCAAACAGGAUUAGAAACCCGCGUA